AAUUCAUUGAAUUAAAUUGAUCAUCUUUGAUUGUAAAAGAAGUAUGUGGAGCUUUGUAUAUCUAGAAGUACAAGAAUAUUGUUGAUUUGCUCAUAUGACUAUAGAUCAAACCUUUCGAUUACAAUAUGAUGAUUAAUUGUUCACGACAAUAAACUUAAUUUUAAUUAUUGAGCUAUGACACAAGAAUGUUGAUUUGUUUUCAUUAUGAUCUAGAUGUCUAAAUCUAAAUAUAAAUUUAAAUGAUUAAGAUAUAAUGAUGAUUGUGAUAAAAAAGAUGGUUAGUGAUGAUGACUGAUGAUCGUGAAUCGCUCAUAAUGAAUAUCAUCCACACAACUGAUACCUCUUAAUAAUUUUAAAACUCUCUUCUAAAUUUUAAUGAUUAAGACCUAUUCUUAAUGAUAUAUAUUAAACAUAUUUAUGAGCAAAUAUUUUUUUAAAUUCCAUUUCUAUAUAUUUUGAUGAAUAAAUUAAAACAUUCAAAUAACUCCAACAACGUUUGCUGCCCCUGUUUAGUUUGGGACUAAAAAGUUGUGGUUGAAAUCUUGUGUUAUCUUGACCUGCCUCAAGACUUAUCCAGAUUAAGCAGGGGACCAGAGUCCAUAGCCCAAUUGGCAUUUGCAGCAUAAAGUAUUAAUUAGUGUUUGAUAGUUGGUUAUAGUUAUAUAUGUAUUAAUGAAAAAGAGACAGAUUUAGCUCUGAAUUUUAAUAAAAAGUGUGUAUAUAUCCUCCGUUAUACUAUGCGUACACGUAUAUUGCUACAAUUCAAUUAGUGGUACAUAUAUAACCUUGUCACUAACGGAUCCAUAUUUUAUAACACGUGUCAUGAUCCUAAUACUAUCCGUUUCAUCCCUUUUUUAACCUAUAACCCGCCCCAUAACCCAUUAAAAGAAGGGAUCCCUUAAAAGAAUCCUAAAUACACACCUUAAUUGAAACACCUAAAGAAAAAUCCGCCGUCUUCGUCUGAUUCAAGUUCGUCUUCAUCGCGAUGAUCAUAAUUUCAAAUUUCAUCUAUCAUGUGUUGGUCAUAAUUUUCUAUUUCAUCUACCUGUCGACUCCUUUAAUUCAGACCUAAAAUCAUGUCUGAAAGUUCAUGUGGUUCAAUUAGUAACUCCAUGACUAUGACUUAUUUUUGUGGUGAAUUGACUCGUUGUUUCACUUCAAGGACUCCAUUGAACCUGAAAGAAGAUUUUAUAGAUGUUCUAUCCCUAAGAUUGAAAAUUGUGGAUUUUGGAGGUGGGAAGACAGUUCUUCAGAAAAUUCUUCUAUUGAAGCCAAUUUAUUGAAGUUUAAAUUGCAAGUUGCUAAGUUGAAAAUGGAGAAUUUGAGAGAAUCAUUGAAUGCGGUUAAGAUUGAAAGAGACAAUUUGAAGAAAAAAUUGAAGAAUUUAGAGAGUUUAAACUACUUCGAGGUGAAUAAAUCAAGAAAUUUGGAAGCUAAAGUGUCGAAGUUGAACAUGUUGUUCAUAUUGCCAUUUACUGUGUUUGUGGUAUUUGUUGUUGCAAUUUUCAAGUGUUAGUCAUUUCAAUUGUUUCUUAUGUAUUAGUGAUAGUGAAUCUUAUGCUUGAAUAUUGAUCAUUAUUUUCAAGUGUUGCUUCAAACUUAUUGUAAAUUUCAAGUGUUGGAUUUGAAACAUUAUUUUGUGUCUUUUGCCUUGAAGAUUGUAGUAUUUUGUUGUGUUA
This is a long non-coding RNA of Solanum lycopersicum (tomato), 1679 nucleotides long. RefSeq lists it as uncharacterized. The record is from RefSeq and is a predicted model, not a curated record. NCBI's taxonomy places the organism in Eukaryota, Viridiplantae, Streptophyta, Magnoliopsida, Solanales, Solanaceae.